RNAcentral lists this ribosomal RNA (322 nucleotides) under Candidatus Ruminococcus intestinipullorum. RNAcentral describes it as "bacterial SSU rRNA". It matches the Rfam family "Bacterial small subunit ribosomal RNA", at positions 1 to 303 of the family's 1533-position model. Lineage: Bacteria; Bacillati; Bacillota; Clostridia; Eubacteriales; Oscillospiraceae. The record is from RNAcentral.
UUUAACGAGAGUUUGAUCCUGGCUCAGAAUGAACGCUGGCGGCGUGCUUAACACAUGCAAGUCGAGCGAAGCGCUUUAAUUGGAUUUCUUCGGAAUGACGAUUAAAGUGACUGAGCGGCGGACGGGUGAGUAACGCGUGGGUAACCUACCUCAUACAGGGGGAUAACAGUUGGAAACGACUGCUAAUACCGCAUAAGCGCACGGUAUCGCAUGAUACAGUGUGAAAAACUCCGGUGGUAUGAGAUGGACCCGCGUCUGAUUAGCUAGUUGGUGGGGUAACGGCCUACCAAGGCGACGAUCAGUAGCCGACCUGAGAGGGUGA